UACGUAGGGUGCGAGCGUUAAUCGGAAUUACUGGGCGUAAAGAGCGCGCAGGCGGUCGUGCAAGUCGCGUGUGAAAGCCCCCGGCUCAACUGGGGAGGGUCACGCGAUACUGCUCGACUUGAAGGCAGGAGAGGGAAGCGGAAUUCCCGGUGUAGCGGUGAAAUGCGUAGAGAUCGGGAGGAACACCAGAGGCGAAGGCGGCUCGCUGGACAGUCACUGACACUCAACUGCGAAAGCGUGGGGAGCAAACAGG
This 253-nucleotide ribosomal RNA is filed under the name uncultured bacterium. Its description in RNAcentral is "partial 16S ribosomal RNA". It matches the Rfam family "Bacterial small subunit ribosomal RNA", at positions 524 to 776 of the family's 1533-position model. The record is from RNAcentral.